RNAcentral lists this long non-coding RNA (1108 nucleotides) under Lepisosteus oculatus (spotted gar). Its description in RNAcentral is "lncRNA (ENSLOCG00000021437.1)". The record is from RNAcentral. Lineage: Eukaryota; Metazoa; Chordata; Actinopteri; Semionotiformes; Lepisosteidae.
AUGAAAAAACCACCUUCUUCAACAAAGCACAGCUCGACAGAGACAAACUACAAAGACCUACAGAAACAGGUGACCGAGAAGCUAGAGAGGUUACUCAAAGAGAAGAACCAGAGAGCUGGAGACAGAUGUCUGGAAGUGAAUGGCAGUCAGGUGCACAGAGAGCAGCCAGCAGAGAGGGGAGCCAGAGUGAAGGCAGCUCCAGCACAGGAGAAGGAUCACAGCAGUGCAGAAGCAUGUACCAAACCUUCCUUCCCAGCUCCAGCGAAGCAGGCUGAGAAAGCAGCACCUGUGCUGGACAGAAAGCCAAGCACAUUUAGCAAGGACUCCUCAUUCCGAAAACAGGGGAGUUCACAGUCGACGAAGGAAACUGAAAUUUCUGAGAGGAGGACAGAUCAGAGAAAGACCAUCUCAGUGAUGAAAAGAUGCAUUGAUGUCACAGAAACAACAACGUCCAUUUCAGGAAAGUGCAGAACUGUGACAGGACAAGGGCUAGAUACUUCUCUUCAGAAAAGAUCUCACCUGGAAAAAUCUUGGUCAUUUUCAUUCACAGAAAAGGGAAUUUUGGAAAGCCCAGGAUUAAUGAAAUCAUCUUCUCAUUCCAAGCAAACAAAGAAAACUGCAGUGCCCCCUGAGUAAUAUCUCAUUGAAAUAUCUACCAAUCAUGUUUGUUUUGAUUGCUUCUCAUUGCUGACUGUCCCUGUGUUUAAUUUUGAAAGAUCUUACAACACAUAAAUGAAACUUAAAUUGAGCUUUAAUUUUCAUGUGUUUUAUUGUGACCAUGUUUGGAAGUGUUUUUCCUUAAACAAUUAUGAUGUUUUUUUCCAAUGUUUUCAUAGGGAUGACAUUUACAGCUUCAGGGAUGACUCAAUAGUAAAAUGUGGGGUAGGAGGUGUCUAUUGCUGUUGUUUCUUACUUACAUCUAGUUAUUGUAUCACUAAAUGUCAUGAGUGGUGUUCAUUGAACCUUAUUUUAAUAUUUAGGAAGGAGAGAGAACGCUGCCAAAAAGAUCAGAGACAAAGAAAAGGUAAGAGCACACUCCAUUACGAAGGUCCUGUUUGACUACUGAGUAUCAAGCAGCCCUUCUCUCCUUCAUAAACGUCUUUGCAUU